RNAcentral lists this ribosomal RNA (468 nucleotides) under uncultured bacterium. RNAcentral describes it as "partial 16S ribosomal RNA". It matches the Rfam family "Bacterial small subunit ribosomal RNA", at positions 28 to 507 of the family's 1533-position model. The record is from RNAcentral.
GACGAACGCUGGCGGCGUGCUUAACACAUGCAAGUCGAACGGAAAGGCCCUGCUUUUGUGGGGUGCUCGAGUGGCGAACGGGUGAGUAACACGUGAGUAACCUGCCCUUGACUUUGGGAUAACUUCAGGAAACUGGGGCUAAUACCGGAUAGGAGCUCCUGCUGCAUGGUGGGGGUUGGAAAGUUUCGGCGGUUGGGGAUGGACUCGCGGCUUAUCAGCUUGUUGGUGGGGUAGUGGCUUACCAAGGCUUUGACGGGCAGCCGGCCUGAGAGGGUGACCGGCAACAUUGGGACUGAGAUACGGCCCAGACUCCUACGGGAGGCAGCAGUGGGGAAUAUUGCACAAUGGGCGGAAGCCUGAUGCAGCAACGCCGCGUGCGGGAUGACGGCCUUCGGGUUGUAAACCGCUUUCGCCUGUGACGAAGCGUGAGUGACGGUAAUGGGUAAAGAAGCACCGGCUAACUACGUG